RNAcentral lists this ribosomal RNA (129 nucleotides) under uncultured bacterium. RNAcentral describes it as "partial 16S ribosomal RNA". It matches the Rfam family "Bacterial small subunit ribosomal RNA", at positions 1408 to 1532 of the family's 1533-position model. The record is from RNAcentral.
AAGUGGAUUGCACCAGAAGUAGAUAGUCUAACCUUAAGGAGGGCCGUUUACCACGGUGUGCUUCAUGACUGGGGUGAAAGUCGGUAACAAGGUACCCGUAAGGGAACCUGUGGCUUGGAUCACCUCCUU